AUUGAACGCUGGCGGCAUGCUUUACACAUGCAAGUCGAACGAGUGGCGCACGGGUGAGUAAUACAUCGGAACGUGUCCUAUCGUGGGGGAUAACUGAUCGACAGAUCAGCUAAUACCGCAUACGAUUGGAGCGGCCGAUGCCCGAGUGGCUAGUUGGUGAGGUAAAGGCUAACCAAGGCGACGAUCGGGAGCUGGUCUGAGAGGACGACCAGGCAAAAUGGGACUGAGACAUGGCCCAGACUCCUACGGUAGGCAGGAGUGGUGAAUUUUGGGCAAUGGGGGCAACCCUGAUCCAGCCAUGCCGCGUGCAGGAUGAAGGUCUUCGGAUUGUAAACUGCUUUUGUGAGGUAAGCGGUACCUGAAGAAUAAGCACCGGCUAACUACGUGCCAGCAGCCGCGGUAAUUC
Molecule: ribosomal RNA, 406 nt
Filed under: uncultured bacterium
Lineage: Bacteria
Description: partial 16S ribosomal RNA
Rfam family: Bacterial small subunit ribosomal RNA
Source: RNAcentral